Molecule: ribosomal RNA, 348 nt
Filed under: uncultured bacterium
Lineage: Bacteria
Description: bacterial SSU rRNA
Rfam family: Bacterial small subunit ribosomal RNA
Source: RNAcentral
GGGCUAAGAAGUGCGCAGGACGGUCUGUAACGUACGAGAUGUGGAAAUCCCCGGGCUUAACCUGGGAACUGCGUUUGAAACUGCAGAGCUAGAGUGCGGCAGAGGGAGGUGGAAUUCCAUGUGUAGCAGUGAAAUGCGUAGAGAUAUGGAAGAACAUCGAUGGCGAAGGCAACCUCCUGGGCUAGCACUGACGCUCAUGCACGAAAGCGUGGGGAGCAAACAGGAUUAGAUACCCUGGUAGUCCACGCCCUAAACUAUGUCAACUAGUUGUCGGGUCUUAAUAGACUUGGUAACGUAGCUAACGCGUGAAGUUGACCGCCUGGGGAGUACGGUCGCAAGAUUAAAACU